AUGAUCUCGCCGAUGAUGAUUAUGAUGGUGAUGAUUUCUAGGAAAAUUACCUACCAUCUUUGAUCUAGUUAACUUUGAUUUGCAUUUUCUAUGGUAGGAUUAUCCUGCAAGCUAAAAACUGGGUUCUUUAACCUUGAAAACAAAAGCUUGUAGACUUUAUGAUUUUAAUUAUUGUUUGAUGUAAUAUGUUUUGUCGUGACGAACACAUAAACAUGUAAUGUAUGCAAGUUGUUGCUAUCAAUUUGGAUGUUUACGUCCAAACUUCCAUUUGGCAGAUUUGCGAUCCGAUUAUGAUGGUGAUGAUUUCUAGGAAAUUACAUACCAUCUUUGAUCUAGUUAACUUUGAUUUGCAUUUUCUAUGGUAGAAUUAUCCUGAAAGAUAAAAAUUGGGUUCUUUAAAGCUUGUAAACUUUAUGCUUUUAAUUGUUGUUCGAUGUAAUAUGUGAAGUGUCGAACACAUAACAUGUAAUGGACAAAAGUUGUUGCUAUCAAUUUGGAUGUGUAUGUCCAAACUUACAUUA
Molecule: long non-coding RNA, 521 nt
Filed under: Nicotiana benthamiana
Lineage: Eukaryota; Viridiplantae; Streptophyta; Magnoliopsida; Solanales; Solanaceae
Description: long non-coding RNA (NBEN_LNC023557)
Source: RNAcentral